RNAcentral lists this ribosomal RNA (440 nucleotides) under uncultured bacterium. RNAcentral's name for it is "partial 16S ribosomal RNA". It matches the Rfam family "Bacterial small subunit ribosomal RNA", at positions 338 to 795 of the family's 1533-position model. The record is from RNAcentral.
CCUACGGGGUGCAGCAGUGGGGAAUAUUGCACAAUGGGGGAAACCCUGAUGCAGCGACGCCGCGUGAGUGAAGAAGGAUUUCGGUACGUAAAGCACUAUCAGCAGGGAAGAAAAUGACGGUACCUGACUAAGAAGCCCCUGCGAACUACGUGCCAGCAGCCGCGGUAAUACGUAGGGGGCAAGCGUUAUCCGGAUUUACUGGUGGUAAAGGGAACGUAGACGGCAGCGCAAGUCUGAAGUGAAAUCCCAUGGCUUAACCAUGGAACUGCUUUGGAAACUGGGCAGCUGGAGUGCAGGAGAGGUAAGUGGAAUUCCUAGUGUAGCGGUGAAAUGCGUAGAGAUUAGGAGGAACACCAGUGGCGAAGGCGGCUUACUGGACUGUAACUGACGUUGAGGCGCGAAAGCGUGGGGAGCAAACAGGAUUAGAUACCCGAGUAGUC